CAGCAGCCGCGGGAACACGGAGGAUCCAAGCGUUAUCCGGAAUCAUUGGGUUUAAAGGGUCCGUAGGCGGUCUUGUAAGUCAGUGGUGAAAGCCCAUCGCUCAACGGUGGAACGGCCAUUGAUACUGCAGGACUUGAAUUAUUGGGAAGUAACUAGAAUAUGUAGUGUAGCGGUGAAAUGCUUAGAGAUUACAUGGAAUACCAAUUGCGAAGGCAGGUUACUACCAAUUGAUUGACGCUGAUGGACGAAAGCGUGGGUAGCGAACAGGAUUAGAUACCCCCGUAGUCCCUGUCUCUUAUAC
Molecule: ribosomal RNA, 301 nt
Filed under: uncultured bacterium
Lineage: Bacteria
Description: partial 16S ribosomal RNA
Rfam family: Bacterial small subunit ribosomal RNA
Source: RNAcentral